RNAcentral lists this ribosomal RNA (253 nucleotides) under uncultured bacterium. Its description in RNAcentral is "partial 16S ribosomal RNA". It matches the Rfam family "Bacterial small subunit ribosomal RNA", at positions 524 to 776 of the family's 1533-position model. The record is from RNAcentral.
AACGUAGGAGCCAAGCGUUAUCCGAAUUCACUGGGCGUAAAGCGCGUGCAGGCGGUUCGGUAAGUUGGAUGUGAAAUCUCCUGGCUCAACUGGGAGAGGACGUUCAAUACUGUCGGACUAGAGGACGGUAGAGGGAGGUGGAAUUCCCGGUGUAGUGGUGAAAUGCGUAGAUAUCGGGAGGAACACCAGUGGCGAAAGCGGCCUCCUGGGCCGUACCUGACGCUCAGACGCGAAAGCUAGGGGAGCAAACGGG